Molecule: transfer RNA, 74 nt
Filed under: uncultured bacterium
Lineage: Bacteria
Description: tRNA-Gly
Rfam family: tRNA
About the family: Transfer RNA (tRNA) molecules are approximately 80 nucleotides in length. Their secondary structure includes four short double-helical elements and three loops (D, anti-codon, and T loops). Further hydrogen bonds mediate the characteristic L-shaped molecular structure. tRNAs have two regions of fundamental functional importance: the anti-codon, which is responsible for specific mRNA codon recognition, and the 3' end, to which the tRNAs corresponding amino acid is attached (by aminoacyl-tRNA synthetases). tRNAs cope with the degeneracy of the genetic code in two manners: having more than one tRNA (with a specific anti-codon) for a particular amino acid; and 'wobble' base-pairing, i.e. permitting non-standard base-pairing at the 3rd anti-codon position.
Source: RNAcentral
GCGGGCGUGGCCGAUUGGUUAGGCACCUGCCUUCCAAGCAGAGUAAGCGGGUUCGAUUCCCGCCGCCCGCUCCA